AGAACGAACGCUGGCGGCAUGCCUAAUACAUGCAAGUCGAACGAACACUUCGGUGUUAGUGGCGCACGGGUGCGUAACGCGUGGGAAUCUGCCCUUGGGUUCGGAAUAACAGUUGGAAACGACUGCUAAUACCGGAUGAUAUCGAAAGAUCAAAGAUUUAUCGCCCAGGGAUGAGCCCGCGUAGGAUUAGCUAGUUGGUGAGGUAAAGGCUCACCAAGGCGACGAUCUGUAGCUGGUCUGAGAGGACGACCAGCCACACUGGGACUGAGACACGGCCCAGACUCCUACGGGAGGCAGCAGUGGGGAAUUUUGGACAAUGGGCGAAAGCCUGAUCAGCCAUGCCGCGUGCAGGAUGAAGGCCUUCGGGUUGUAAACUGCUUUGUA
RNAcentral lists this ribosomal RNA (384 nucleotides) under uncultured soil bacterium. RNAcentral's name for it is "bacterial SSU rRNA". It matches the Rfam family "Bacterial small subunit ribosomal RNA", at positions 26 to 439 of the family's 1533-position model. The record is from RNAcentral.